This 1438-nucleotide ribosomal RNA is filed under the name uncultured organism. RNAcentral describes it as "partial small subunit ribosomal RNA". It matches the Rfam family "Bacterial small subunit ribosomal RNA". The record is from RNAcentral.
GCUUAACACAUGCAAGUCGAACGGAAAGGCCCUGCUUUUGUGGGGUGCUCGAGUGGCGAACGGGUGAGUAACACGUGAGUAACCUGCCCUUGACUUUGGGAUAACUUCAGGAAACUGGGGCUAAUACCGGAUAGGAGCUCCUGCUGCAUGGUGGGGGUUGGAAAGUUUCGGCGGUUGGGGAUGGACUCGCGGCUUAUCAGCUUGUUGGUGGGGUAGUGGCUUACCAAGGCUUUGACGGGUAGCCGGCCUGAGAGGGUGACCGGCCACAUUGGGACUGAGAUACGGCCCAGACUCCUACGGGAGGCAGCAGUGGGGAAUAUUGCACAAUGGGCGGAAGCCUGAUGCAGCAACGCCGCGUGCGGGAUGACGGCCUUCGGGUUGUAAACCGCUUUCGCCUGUGACGAAGCGUGAGUGACGGUAAUGGGUAAAGAAGCACCGGCUAACUACGUGCCAGCAGCCGCGGUGAUACGUAGGGUGCGAGCGUUGUCCGGAUUUAUUGGGCGUAAAGGGCUCGUAGGUGGUUGAUCGCGUCGGAAGUGUAAUCUUGGGGCUUAACCCUGAGCGUGCUUUCGAUACGGGUUGACUUGAGGAAGGUAGGGGAGAAUGGAAUUCCUGGUGGAGCGGUGGAAUGCGCAGAUAUCAGGAGGAACACCAGUGGCGAAGGCGGUUCUCUGGGCCUUUCCUGACGCUGAGGAGCGAAAGCGUGGGGAGCGAACAGGCUUAGAUACCCUGGUAGUCCACGCUGUAAACGGUGGGUACUAGGUGUGGGGUCCAUUCCACGGGUUCCGUGCCGUAGCUAACGCUUUAAGUACCCCGCCUGGGGAGUACGGCCGCAAGGCUAAAACUCAAAGGAAUUGACGGGGCCCCGCACAAGCGGCGGAGCAUGCGGAUUAAUUCGAUGCAACGCGUAGAACCUUACCUGGGUUUGACAUGGAUCGGGAGUGCUCAGAGAUGGGUGUGCCUCUUUUGGGGUCGGUUCACAGGUGGUGCAUGGCUGUCGUCAGCUCGUGUCGUGAGAUGUUGGGUUAAGUCCCGCAACGAGCGCAACCCUUGUUCACUGUUGCCAGCACGUUAUGGUGGGGACUCAGUGGAGACCGCCGGGGUCAACUCGGAGGAAGGUGGGGAUGACGUCAAGUCAUCAUGCCCCUUAUGUCCAGGGCUUCACGCAUGCUACAAUGGCUGGUACAGAGAGUGGCGAGCCUGUGAGGGUGAGCGAAUCUCGGAAAGCCGGUCUCAGUUCGGAUUGGGGUCUGCAACUCGACCUCAUGAAGUCGGAGUCGCUAGUAAUCGCAGAUCAGCAACGCUGCGGUGAAUACGUUCCCGGGGCUUGUACACACCGCCCGUCAAGUCAUGAAAGUUGGUAACACCCGAAGCCGGUGGCCUAACCGUUGUGGGGGAGCCGUCGAAGGUGGGACUGGUGAUUAGGACUAAGUCAUAA